ACGUAGGAGGCAAACGUUAUCCGGAUUUACUGGGCGUAAAGCGCGUAUAGGUGGUACUGUAAGUAGGGCGUGAAAGCUCCUGGCUCAACUGGGAGAGGCCGUUCUAAACUACAGAACUAGAGGAUGGUAGAGGGAGGUGGAAUUCCAGGUGUAGCGGUGGAAUGCGCAGAUAUCUGGAGGAACACCGGUGGCGAAGGCGGCCUCCUGGACCAUUCCUGACACUCAGACGCGAAAGCUAGGGUAGCAAACGGGAUUAGAGACCCCGGUAGUCCUAGCCCUAAACGAUGUAGACUAGGCGUCGGAAGCUUAAUCGCUUUCGGUGUCCAAGCUAACGCGAUAAGUCUACCGCCUGGGGACUACGGCCGCAAGGUUAAAACUCAAAGGAAUUGACGGGUCCCCGCACAAGCAGCGGAGCGUGUGGUUUAAUUCGUUGCUACACGAAGAACCUUACCUGGGUUUGACAUAGCAGUGGUAGGGAAGCGAAAGCGGACCGACCCUUCGGGGAGCUGUUACAGGUGUUGCAUGGCUGUCGUCAGCUCGUGUCGUGAGAUGUUCGGUUAAGUCCGCUAACGAGCGCAACCCGCGUUGUGUGUUACAAGUGUCACACAAUACCGCCGGUAUUAAGUCGGAGGAAGGUGCGGAUGACGUCAAGUCAGCAUGACCUUUAUAUCCAGGGCUACACACACGCUACAAUGGUCAGCACAAUAGGUUGCCAAGUCGUGAGACGGAGCCAAUCCUCCAAAGCUGGCCUCAGUUCAGAUUGCAGGCUGCAACUCGCCUGCAUGAAGUUGGAGUUGCUAGUAACCGCAGGUCAGCUAUACUGCGGUGAAUACGUUCCCGGGGAUUGCACACACCGCCCGU
This 861-nucleotide ribosomal RNA is filed under the name uncultured bacterium. RNAcentral describes it as "bacterial SSU rRNA". It matches the Rfam family "Bacterial small subunit ribosomal RNA", at positions 525 to 1397 of the family's 1533-position model. The record is from RNAcentral.